AUGGGAAUCCCAGACCGGGGCUUCCCUGGGGACCCCAAACUGAGGAUCCCAAAUGGGAGCAUCCCUGGGAAUCCCCAACCGGAGCAUGCCAGGGGAACCCCAAACCGGAACCUGUGGGAACCCCAAACCAGAGCAUUCCCAGGUAUCCAAAACAUUCCCGGGCACCCCAAAGCAGAGAAUCCCUGGGAAUCCCGGACUGGGGCAUCCCAGGGCACCCCAAAGCGGCUCAUCCCGAGGUAUCCGGAGCAUCCCUGGGGAUCCCAAAUCGGAGCGUCCCUGGGGACCCUGAGCAUCCCGGGGGAUCCCAAAUGGGAGCAUCCCUGGGGACUCCGAUCCAGAGCAUUCCCAGGUAUCCGGAGUGUCCCCAGUGACCCCAAAUCCGAGAAUCCUUGGGGACCCCGAGCAUCCCUGGGGACCCCAAAUCGGAGCAUCUCCAGGGACCCCAAAUCGGAGCAUUCCGGGGUAUCCAAAGCAUUCCCGGGGAUCCCAAACCGGAGGAUCCCUGGAGCUUUCCCGGCCACCGGGAGCAUUCCCAGGAGCGGGGACACGGGAGGUGCCAGCUCCGCUCCUGUCCUCCAGCUGCGGAAUUCCAGGCGGGAUCCAGCUGCGGAAUUCCAGGCGGGAUCCAGCUGCGGAAUUCCAGCCCGUCUGGCCAAGAGGAGCCGCUCCCGCCGUUCCCUCUGCACAACCUGCCGGGAGCCGGGAAAAAAUCCCGAUCCCAAAAAUCCGACCCCGCGGGGGGCGGGGUCUCCCUUGGGAAAGAAGCCGGGAAAAAAAAAAAAACCGCGGUCCCAAAAAUCCCGAGAUCUCAACACUUCACAAAGAGGGGUUCUCCCUUGGGAAUGGGGUCUCCAGGAGCCGGGAAUUUUUUGGGAACCCUCUGCACAACCUGCAGGGAGCAGGGGAAAAAUCCCGAUCCCAAAAAUCCGACCCCGCGCGGGGCGGGGUCUCCCUUGGGAAAGAAGCCGGGAAAAAAAAAAAACCGCGGUCCCAAAAAUCCCGAGAUCUCAACCUUUCCCAAAGAGGGGUUCUCCCUUGGGAAUGGGGUCUCCAGGAGCCGGGAAUUUUUUGGGAACCCUCUGCACAACCUGCAGGGAGCAGGGGAAAAAUCCCGAUCCCAAAAAUCCGACCCUGCGCGGGGCGGGGUCUCCCUUGGGAAAGGAGCCUCGGGAAGCCGGGAAAAAAACAACCCCGAUCCCAAAAAUCCCGAGAUCUCAACACUUCACAAAGAGGGGUUCUCCCUUGGGAAUGGGGUCUCCAGGAGCCGGGAAUUUUUUGGGAACCCUCUGCACAACCUGCCGGGAGCAGGGGAAAAAUCCCGAUCCCAAAAAUCCGAUCCUGCUCCUUUGGGAAAGGAGCCUCCAGGAGCCGGGAAGAAAAUCCUGA
RNAcentral lists this long non-coding RNA (1386 nucleotides) under Corvus moneduloides (New Caledonian crow). RNAcentral describes it as "lncRNA (ENSCMUG00000016839.1)". Lineage: Eukaryota; Metazoa; Chordata; Aves; Passeriformes; Corvidae. The record is from RNAcentral.